GACGAACGCUGGCGGCGUGCUUAACACAUGCAAGUCGAACGGAAAGGCCCUGCUUUUGUGGGGUUCCCGAGUGGCGAACGGGUGUGUAACACGUGAGUAACCUGCCCUUGACUUUUUUAUAACUUCAUGAAACUGGGGCUAAUACCUGAUAGGAUCUCCUGCUGCAUUGUGGUGGUUGGAAAGUUUCGGCGGUUGGGGAUGGACUCGCGGCUUAUCAGCUUGUUGGUGGGGUAGUGGCUUACCAAGGCUUUGACGGGUAGCCGGCCUGAGAGGGUGACCGGCAACAUUGGGACUGAGAUACGGCCCAGACUCCAACGGGAGGCAGGAGUGGGGAAUAGUGCACAAUGGGAGGAAGCCUGAUGAAGAAAAGCCGCGUGCGGGAUGACGGCAUUCGGGUUGUAAACAGAUUUCGCAUGUGACGAAGAGUGAGUGACGGUAAUGGGUAAAGAAGCACCGGCUAACUACGUG
This 468-nucleotide ribosomal RNA is filed under the name uncultured bacterium. RNAcentral's name for it is "partial 16S ribosomal RNA". It matches the Rfam family "Bacterial small subunit ribosomal RNA", at positions 28 to 507 of the family's 1533-position model. The record is from RNAcentral.